UGCAUGUGUCUUAUUGCUUUAUAUAUUGAGUUCAGUUAUUCAUGAGUUGAACAGAGCCAAGGUAAGUGUUCUCUUGUACUCUUUUCAAGCUUAAGUUGUGGUUUAGCUUUCCAGCUCGCAUACUCGUACAUUCCAUGUACUGAUGCCAGUUGGCCUGCAUCUUAUGACGAUGCAGACACAGGUACCCCGGAUCAGCAUCCUGCACGCCGUUGAUCCAGCUGAGCACUCUAGAGUCAGUGG
This 240-nucleotide long non-coding RNA is filed under the name Solanum tuberosum (potato). RNAcentral describes it as "long non-coding RNA (STUB_LNC001425)". The record is from RNAcentral. Lineage: Eukaryota; Viridiplantae; Streptophyta; Magnoliopsida; Solanales; Solanaceae.